RNAcentral lists this ribosomal RNA (372 nucleotides) under uncultured bacterium. RNAcentral describes it as "bacterial SSU rRNA". It matches the Rfam family "Bacterial small subunit ribosomal RNA", at positions 30 to 400 of the family's 1533-position model. The record is from RNAcentral.
AUUGAACGCUGGCGGCAUGCCUUACACAUGCAAGUCGAACGGCAGCACGGGAGCAAUCCUGGUGGCGAGUGGCGAACGGGUGAGUAAUAUAUCGGAACGUGCCCAGUCGUGGGGGAUAACGUAGCGAAAGCUACGCUAAUACCGCAUACGAUCUAUGGAUGAAAGCGGGGGAUCGCAAGACCUCGCGCGAUUGGAGCGGCCGAUAUCAGAUUAGGUAGUUGGUGAGGUAAAGGCUCGCCAAGCCGACGAUCUGUAGCUGGUCUGAGAGGACGACCAGCCACACUGGGACUGAGACACGGCCCAGACUCCUACGGGAGGCAGCAGUGGGGGAAUUUUUGGACAAUGGGCGCAAGCCUGAUCCAGCAAUGCCGC